UACGAAGGGGGCUAGCGUUGCUCGGAAUUACUGGGCGUAAAGGGCGCGUAGGCGGCAUGACAAGUCACUUGUGAAAUCUCCGGGCUUAACUCGGAACGGUCAAGUGAUACUGUCGCGCUAGAGUGCGGAAGGGGCAAUCAGAAUUCUUGGUGUAGCGGUGAAAUGCGUAGAUAUCAAGAGGAAUACCUGAGGUGAAGACGGGUUGCUAGGCCGACACUGACGCUGAAGCGCGAAAGCCAGGGGAGCAAACGGG
This 253-nucleotide ribosomal RNA is filed under the name uncultured bacterium. RNAcentral describes it as "partial 16S ribosomal RNA". It matches the Rfam family "Bacterial small subunit ribosomal RNA", at positions 524 to 776 of the family's 1533-position model. The record is from RNAcentral.